RNAcentral lists this ribosomal RNA (594 nucleotides) under uncultured archaeon. Its description in RNAcentral is "bacterial SSU rRNA". It matches the Rfam family "Archaeal small subunit ribosomal RNA", at positions 229 to 823 of the family's 1478-position model. The record is from RNAcentral.
GUAGUAGUGGGUGUAGCGUACCUACUAGCCUACGACGGGUACGGGUUGUGAGAGCAAGAGCCCGGAGAUGGAUUCUGAGACACGAAUCCAGGCCCUACGGGGUGCAGCAGGCGCGAAAACUUUACAAUGCUGGCAACAGCGAUAAGGGAACCUCGAGUGCCAGGUUACAAAUCUGGCUGUCGAGAUGCCUAAAAAGCAUUUCAUAGCAAGGGCCGGGCAAGACCGGUGCCAGCCGCCGCGGUAACACCGGCGGCUCGAGUGGUAACCGUUAUUAUUGGGUCUAAAGGGUCUGUAGCCGGCCGGAUAAGUCUCUUGAGAAAUCUGGCAGCUUAACUGUCAGGCUUUCAGGAGAUACUGUCUGGCUCGAGGCCGGGAGAGGUGAGAGGUACUUCAGGGGUAGGGGUGAAAUCUUGUAAUCCUUGAAGGACCACCAGUGGCGAAGGCGUCUCACCAGAACGGACCUGACGGCAAGGGACGAAAGCUGGGGGAGCAAACCGGAUUAGAUACCCGGGUAGUCCCAGCUGUAAACGAUGCGCGUUAGGUGUAUCGGUGACCACGAGUCAUCGAGGUGCCGAAGGGAAACCGUGAAACGUG